GUGUGGGAUGAAAGGAGAGAAGGCUAGCACCCCCUUUCACAAAG
This 44-nucleotide small nuclear RNA is filed under the name Erinaceus europaeus (western European hedgehog). The record is from RNAcentral. Lineage: Eukaryota; Metazoa; Chordata; Mammalia; Eulipotyphla; Erinaceidae.